GGGCUGGGGCUCAGCGGUAGAGCACUCGCUUAGCACCUGUGAGGCCCUGGGUUCAAUCCUCAGCACCACA
Molecule: transfer RNA, 70 nt
Filed under: Marmota monax (woodchuck)
Lineage: Eukaryota; Metazoa; Chordata; Mammalia; Rodentia; Sciuridae
Description: tRNA.Ala
Source: RNAcentral